RNAcentral lists this ribosomal RNA (465 nucleotides) under Oenococcus oeni. RNAcentral's name for it is "bacterial LSU rRNA". It matches the Rfam family "Bacterial large subunit ribosomal RNA", at positions 328 to 796 of the family's 2925-position model. Lineage: Bacteria; Bacillati; Bacillota; Bacilli; Lactobacillales; Lactobacillaceae. The record is from RNAcentral.
AUUAGACGAAUCAUCUGGAAAGUUGAAUCAAAGAAGGUAAUAAUCCUGUAGUCGAAAAUAUAUACUCUCUUGAGUGGAUCCUGAGUACGACGGAGCACGUGAAAUUCCGUCGGAAUCUGGGAGGACCAUCUCCUAAGGCUAAAUACUCUCUAGUGACCGAUAGUGAACCAGUACCGUGAGGGAAAGGUGAAAAGUACCCCGGAAGGGGAGUGAAAGAGAACUUGAAACCGUGUGCUUACAAGUAGUCAGAGCCCGUUAAUGGGUGAUGGCGUGCCUUUUGUAGAAUGAACCGGCGAGUUACGAUUUGAUGCAAGGUUAAGCAGCUAAUGUGGAGCCGUAGCGAAAGCGAGUCUGAAUAGGGCGUUUAGUAUUUGGUCGUAGACCCGAAACCAGGUGAUCUACCCUUGGUCAGGUUGAAGUUCAGGUAACACUGAAUGGAGGACCGAACCGACUUACGUUGAAAAG